This 245-nucleotide ribosomal RNA is filed under the name uncultured bacterium. RNAcentral's name for it is "partial 16S ribosomal RNA". It matches the Rfam family "Bacterial small subunit ribosomal RNA", at positions 524 to 768 of the family's 1533-position model. The record is from RNAcentral.
UACGUAGGGCGCAAGCGUUGUCCGGAAUUAUUGGGCGUAAAGAGCUCGUAGGCGGUUUGUCGCGUCUGCCGUGAAAGCUCACAGCUUAACUGUGGGUCUGCGGUGGAUACGGGCAGACUUGAGGCAGGUAGGGGAGAGCGGAAUUCCCGGUGUAGCGGUGAAAUGCGCAGAUAUCGGGAGGAACACCGGUGGCGAAGGCGGUUCUCUGGGCCUGUACUGACGCUGAGGAGCGAAAGCGUGGGGAG